GACGUAGGGCGCAAGCGUUGUCCGGAUUUAUUGGGCGUAAAGAGCUUGUAGGCGGUUUGUCGCGUCUGCUGUGAAAAUCCGGGGCUCAACCCCGGACUUGCAGUGGGUACGGGCAGACUAGAGUGUGGUAGGGGAGACUGGAAUUCCUGGUGUAGCGGUGAAAUGCGCAGAUAUCAGGAGGAACACCGAUGGCGAAGGCAGGUCUCUGGGCCACUACUGACGCUGAGAAGCGAAAGCAUGGGGAGCGAACAGG
Molecule: ribosomal RNA, 253 nt
Filed under: uncultured bacterium
Lineage: Bacteria
Description: partial 16S ribosomal RNA
Rfam family: Bacterial small subunit ribosomal RNA
Source: RNAcentral